Molecule: long non-coding RNA, 231 nt
Filed under: Elaeis guineensis (African oil palm)
Lineage: Eukaryota; Viridiplantae; Streptophyta; Magnoliopsida; Arecales; Arecaceae
Description: long non-coding RNA (EGUI_LNC065858)
Source: RNAcentral
AUUCAAAUAAGGAAACUUAGAGUCCUUAUUGGAAUAGGACUCUUCUCCCUAUGCCAACCCAGAUUGCACGCCAUAUAUCUCCACACACAAAAUUAUUUUCUAUGAGAUUUUUUUCACACCAAAGAGUUAUUUUCUUUAUCUAUCUCACAUCUAAAUCUAAUUUAGUUUUGAUAAAAGAAAGAUUCAAAAAUUAGAUUUUAAAAUAUUUCUUAUCAGGAGAAUCUAUUCUCA